UGGUGUCAGGACUCCUCUCUUG
RNAcentral lists this non-coding RNA (22 nucleotides) under Mus musculus (house mouse). The record is from RNAcentral. Lineage: Eukaryota; Metazoa; Chordata; Mammalia; Rodentia; Muridae. RNAcentral also lists the same sequence under 1 other name.